Molecule: long non-coding RNA, 523 nt
Organism: Pogonomyrmex barbatus (red harvester ant)
Lineage: Eukaryota; Metazoa; Arthropoda; Insecta; Hymenoptera; Formicidae
Source: RefSeq, a predicted model, not a curated record
AGGUGCUUGCAUACGUCAAGAGCCGGACGAUACCAGGGCUCUUCUUGUAACGUGGCCUCAGACAAAUCGUCCUUAGAGCUCUCGUACAGCUACGCGGUCGUGUCUUUCGCCAUUCUCACAAAGCGCGAGUUCGGAUCGCAAGAGGAUCAAAUCUCGAAACUAAAACGGUCCGCAUCAGCGCGGAGUAAUCUCCGCAGACGUCACAAACAGAGUUGGUAAGCUCUUCCUCGUGUCUGAUUAUUCUUGAACUACUUAGACAGUCGUAAAAUGAGGCUGCGACUUUUAUCACUUCUACACGCGCGCAAGGCCAUGAAAGGCUCUAUCUACUCCUAUUAGUUGGCUGAUAGACGACGUGAUUGUCAAUUGAAGAACCGUGCAUGCACGCAGCCUGCGAUGUAACCCGCUUUGUCAAGUUAAAGUGCACGACCUAGAUGCGAGCGCGAAAUCAGGUCGCAGCUCGGCGGUCGCGGCGACUGCGCGCGGAAGAAAAUUCACGCACGGCGAAAAAUUGAGAUAACAACCA